GGAAAGGUGGCAGAGCGGUUUAAUGCAGUUGUCUUGAAAACAAUCAAUCUUUAGGGUUUCGUGGGUUCAAAUCCCACUCUUUCCU
RNAcentral lists this transfer RNA (85 nucleotides) under Xestospongia muta (giant barrel sponge). RNAcentral describes it as "tRNA-Ser". It matches the Rfam family "tRNA". Rfam says of the family: Transfer RNA (tRNA) molecules are approximately 80 nucleotides in length. Their secondary structure includes four short double-helical elements and three loops (D, anti-codon, and T loops). The record is from RNAcentral. Lineage: Eukaryota; Metazoa; Porifera; Demospongiae; Haplosclerida; Petrosiidae.